ACUCCACAUACGCAUCCUUUGCUGAGGAUGCGGUUAACGGAGCGAAAGCGACGUUCAACCGCAAAAGAAGCAGAGGGGGCUUAGUGGUGGGGUGACUGCGUACCUUUUGUAUAAUGGGUCAGCGACUUAUAUUCUGUAGCAAGGUUAACCGAAUAGGGGAGCCGGAGGGAAACCGAGUCUUAAUUGGGCGUUAAGUUGCAGGGUAUAGACCCGAAACCCGGUGAUCUAGCCAUGGGCAGGUUGAAGGUUGGGUAACACUAACUGGAGGACCGAACCGACUAAUGUUGAAAAAUUAGCGGAUGACCUGUGGCUGGGGGUGAAAGGCCAAUCAAACCGGGAGAUAGCUGGUUCUCCCCGAAAGCUAUUUAGGUAGCGCCUCGUGAAUUCAUCUCCGGGGGUAGAGCACUGUUUCGGCUAGGGGGCCAUCCCGGCUUACCAACCCGAUGCAAACUGCGAAUACCGGAGAAUGUUAUCACGGGAGACACACGGCGGGUGCUAACGUCCGUCGUGAAGAGGGAAACAACCCAGACCGCCAGCUAAGGUCCCAAAGUCAUGGUUAAGUGGGAAACGAUGUGGGAAGGCCCAGACAGCCAGGAUGUUGGCUUAGAAGCAGCCAUCAUUUAAAGAAAGCGUAAUAGCUCACUGGUCGAGUCGGCCUGCGCGGAAGAUGUAACGGGGCUAAACCAUG
This 688-nucleotide ribosomal RNA is filed under the name Salmonella enterica subsp. enterica serovar Bredeney. RNAcentral describes it as "partial 23S ribosomal RNA". It matches the Rfam family "Bacterial large subunit ribosomal RNA", at positions 1 to 1191 of the family's 2925-position model. RNAcentral also lists the same sequence under 2 other names. Lineage: Bacteria; Pseudomonadati; Pseudomonadota; Gammaproteobacteria; Enterobacterales; Enterobacteriaceae. The record is from RNAcentral.